UGGGGAAUAUUGGACAAUGGGGGGCAACCCUGAUCCAGCAAUGCCGCGUGUGUGAAGAAGGUUUUCGGAUUGUAAAGCACUUUCGACGGGGACGAUGAUGACGGUACCCGUAGAAGAAGCCCCGGCUAACUUCGUGCCAGCAGCCGCGGUAAUACGAAGGGGGCUAGCGUUGCUCGGAAUGACUGGGCGUAAAGGGCGUGUAGGCGGUUUGUACAGUCAGAUGUGAAAUCCCCGGGCUUAACCUGGGAGCUGCA
This 254-nucleotide ribosomal RNA is filed under the name uncultured bacterium. RNAcentral describes it as "partial 16S ribosomal RNA". It matches the Rfam family "Bacterial small subunit ribosomal RNA", at positions 355 to 625 of the family's 1533-position model. The record is from RNAcentral.